This 253-nucleotide ribosomal RNA is filed under the name uncultured prokaryote. RNAcentral's name for it is "partial 16S ribosomal RNA". It matches the Rfam family "Bacterial small subunit ribosomal RNA", at positions 524 to 776 of the family's 1533-position model. The record is from RNAcentral.
UACGUAGGAGGCGAACGUUAUCCGGAUUUACUGGGCGUAAAGCGCGUGUAGGUGGUUUGGUAAGUAGGGCGUGAAAGCUCCUGGCUCAACUGGGAGAGGCCGUUCUAAACUGCCGAACUAGAGGAUGGUAGAGGGAGGUGGAAUUCCGGGUGUAGCGGUGGAAUGCGCAGAUAUCCGGAGGAACACCAGUGGCGAAAGCGGCCUCCUGGACCAUUCCUGACACUCAGACGCGAAAGCUAGGGUAGCAAACGGG